CCUACGUGAGGCAGCAGUGAGGAAUAUUGGUCAAUGGACGAGAGUCUGAACCAGCCAAGUCGCGUGAAGGAUGAAUGCCCUAUGGGUUUUAAACUUCUUUUAUAAAGGAAUAAAACGAGGCACGUGUGCCUUUUUGCAUGUACUUUAUGAAUAAGGGUCGGCUAACUCCGUGCCAGCAGCCGCGGUAAUACGGAGGUUCCGAGCGUUAUCCGGAUUUAUUGGGUUUAAAGGGAGCGUAGAUGGGUUGUUAAGUCAGUUGUGAAAGUUUGCGGCUCAACCGUAAAAUUGCAAUUGAUACUGGCAGUCUUGAGUACAGUUGAGGUAGGCGGAAUUCGUGGUGUAGCGGUGAAAUGCGUAGAUAUCACGAAGAACCCCGAUUGCGAAGGCAGCUUACUAAACUGUGACUGACACUGAUGCUCGAAAGUGUGGGUAUCAAACAGGAUUAGAUACCCCUGUAGUC
RNAcentral lists this ribosomal RNA (460 nucleotides) under uncultured bacterium. RNAcentral's name for it is "partial 16S ribosomal RNA". It matches the Rfam family "Bacterial small subunit ribosomal RNA", at positions 338 to 795 of the family's 1533-position model. The record is from RNAcentral.